RNAcentral lists this long non-coding RNA (1520 nucleotides) under Eucalyptus grandis. RNAcentral describes it as "long non-coding RNA (EGRA_LNC001821)". Lineage: Eukaryota; Viridiplantae; Streptophyta; Magnoliopsida; Myrtales; Myrtaceae. The record is from RNAcentral.
UGUUCAGAAAAACAGAAAUUUGAUCAGCUCAAUCCUAUUCAUAUAUGAAAGUUAGUGAUGGAGAAACAGCUUCACUUGAUCCUGAUGUACUAUUGAGAAGUCAGGAGUUCAACUAGACCUGCAAUUCAACUCCACGGUGACCGCACUCUCGCCUGAAACGACCAAAACACAAUGAUCUCUCACAACAAGCUAAUUCGACUUGUUUUGCUAUUUACGAUGCUAAAGAACUCUUAUCCCGUUCUGCAUUCUUUCUCAAAUUAGCAGAUAGCCACUAUCGCUUAAUGCACUUCUCACUCGAGUUUUGCAUUAAUACUAACAGGAAAAGUCAUGAGAAUCAACCACUCAUAACCGCCAUGUAAAUAUUGCCCGUAAUACUAUAUCUCAGCUAAGCUAGAAAGCUCUUCAAACAGAAGCUUUUUUGGUCAGUAAAGAAUUCUGCUCCAUGUCAACUAUGGCCUACUAUUAUCCAAGAUUAUAUACAAAUGUAUCACUCGCUACUUUAUCAUAGUUGCUCUAGAAAACAUUUAAAGCAGGUUUCUUCUCCCGAAUGAACAUUUGAUUCACACCUUCAGCUUCAUAAGAUUGGAAAAAUAGGCUAGGAGGCUAAUAUAUAUUUCUGUACAACGCCACUUCAAAAUGUGACAGACUCUACCACAAGAAACUGCAUACUUCUUAGAAAAAGGGGAAAAGAAAAGAAAAAAAUUUCAUGCUGGCGAUGCAGUUAUGUAUAAUGAUUCCCAUCGACAUUGCCACAGAAAAGGGCAUUUACCUGGCCGUCGUACCACCCAGUCUCCUCAUCUGAAAGUGUAAAUAGGCAAAUAGACCAUUAGUUCAUCAAUUUUAUACGUCAUUGGAAACCAAAUUACAACACUAACUAUGCCUGCACAAGGUUUCCAAGAAGGCGGAUUCACAAGAAGAAAUGGAACCAAGCACAUCCUAUAGACUUUUCUCAGCACAACCAACAAGCACCCAAUGGAAUUUAACUGUCCUUGCUGGAAGGCACAGCAAUUCGUUGCAGCAAAUUUCCAAGAAACCAGACGACCCCAAUUCACAAGAAGAAAUGGAAACAAGCACAUCCUAUAGACUUUUCUCAGCACGACCAACAAGCACCCAAUGGAAUUUAACUGUCCUUGCUGGAAGGCACAGCAGUUCGUUGCAGCAAAUUUCCAAGAAACCAGACGACCCCAAUUCACAAGAAGAAAUGGAAACAAGCACAUCCUAUAGACUUUCCUCAGCACGACCAACAAGCACCCAAUGGAAUUUAACUGUCCUUGCUGGAAGGCACAGCAGUUCGUUGCAGCAAAUUUCCAAGAAACCAGACAACCCCAAUUCAUUAUAAAAAGAUCCUACUUCUUUCAAGUAAUGAUACCGGCUUUUUCAUCGUUAUGUGAAUACCACCUUCCAUGCUAGUAGAUUUUUCUCCGCCGAUUGAUAAUUCUCCUAUUUCGACCUAACUUUCCAGAGAUUAAUUUACCCACAUGACAGAGAUUAUAAAGGAGAGAGAAGAGAGCAACUAUUAC